GGAGGAUGUUAUCCAGGCUUGUUUUGAAGGGAAUCCAUUUAAAACGGUUCCUGGGCCCUUUAAACUCUUUUGGCGGUGCAUGCGCUCAAAUCCUGGGGAGGAGCCUACAGAACCAUUCUCCUAUUUGCAGCUGGAUCCACCAAAGAUUGAGGACGCCAAACUAGACUAAAUACUACAAAUUUCAGAAGCAAAAGCAGCCUUGUUUGAGAAGACUUAGUUGCAAAACAUCCAGAAUUAGCUUCCUGUCGGAUUAGUUUGCAUUGGCC
Molecule: unclassified non-coding RNA, 266 nt
Filed under: Hevea brasiliensis (rubber tree)
Lineage: Eukaryota; Viridiplantae; Streptophyta; Magnoliopsida; Malpighiales; Euphorbiaceae
Source: RNAcentral